AACGCUGGCGGCGUGCUUAACACAUGCAAGUCGAACGGAAAGGCCCUGCUUUUGUGGGGUGCUCGAGUGGCGAACGGGUGAGUAACACGUGAGUAACCUGCCCUUGACUUUGGGAUAACUUCAGGAAACUGGGGCUAAUACCGGAUAGGAGCCCCUGCUGCAUGGUGGGGGUUGGAAAGUUUCGGCGGUUGGGGAUGGACUCGCGGCUUAUCAGCUUGUUGGUGGGGUAGUGGCUUACCAAGGCUUUGACGGGUAGCCGGCCUGAGAGGGUGACCGGCCACAUUGGGACGGAGAUACGGCCCAGACUCCUACGGGAGGCAGCAGUGGGGAAUAUUGCACAAUGGGCGGAAGCCUGAUGCAGCAACGCCGCGUGCGGGAUGACGGCCUUCGGGUUGUAAACCGCUUUCGCCUGUGACGAAGCGUGAGUGACGGUAAUGGGUAAAGAAGCACCGGCUAACUACGUG
This 464-nucleotide ribosomal RNA is filed under the name uncultured bacterium. RNAcentral's name for it is "partial 16S ribosomal RNA". It matches the Rfam family "Bacterial small subunit ribosomal RNA", at positions 32 to 507 of the family's 1533-position model. The record is from RNAcentral.